This 503-nucleotide ribosomal RNA is filed under the name uncultured bacterium. Its description in RNAcentral is "bacterial SSU rRNA". It matches the Rfam family "Bacterial small subunit ribosomal RNA", at positions 899 to 1397 of the family's 1533-position model. The record is from RNAcentral.
ACUCAAAGGAAUAGACGGGAGCCCGCACAAGCAGUGGAGUAUGUUGUUUAAUUCGACGCAACGCGAAGAACCUUACCAGGUCUUGACAUCUGCGGAAUCCCGCGUAAUGGCGGGAGUGCCCUUCGGGGAGCCGCAAGACAGGUAGUGCAUGGUUGUCGUCAGCUCGUGUCGUGAGAUGUUGGGUUAAGUCCCGCAACGAGCGCAACCCUUACGAAUAGUUGCUAGUCCGUUAAUCCGGAAAGCACUCUAUUUGGACUGCCGUUGACAAAACGGAGGAAGGUGGGGAUGAUGUCAAAUCAUCAUGCUCUUUAUGAUCUGGGCCACAAACGUACUACAAUGGCGCGAACAAAGGGGAGCGAAGCCGCGAGGCGGAGCAAAUCCCAAAAACGCGUCCCAGUUCAGAUUGCAGGCUGCAACUCGCCUGCAUGAAGUUGGAAUUGCUAGUAAUCGCGGAUCAGCAUGCCGCGGUGAAUACGUUCCCGGGCUUUGCACACACCGCCCGU